AUGAUGUCUCGUACCCCACACAAUCCAGAGCGAGAAUACCUUUCAUGUGGAAGCACUCCAGGAAGAUGCAGCAUUUGGAUCUGGAGAGAUCUAUUGAUGGAGUACGUUGAGCAUAUGGUGGAUUAUUGUGGAGCCCCACUUAAGGAGAUGCUGGAGGAUGCAAACAGAAAGGUUGCUGAACAAGAUAAGUUAAUUUGUUGCCUGAGGAUGAAGAUUGAACAAGAUAUUGAUGAGAAAAAUAGGCAGAAUGCAGAGUUCAGACUUUGUAUAACAAAGCUUCAAGGUUCAGUCUGGAGGUUGAGGAUGUUCAUAUGGGGAACAAUCAUUUUGGUCUCAACUUGCUUAGCAAUUGGUGGAUCUCCUUCUAGUCUGUUGACUAUAGUAUUAGCAGUAACGGUAGUUUAUCUGGCUUUAGGAUAG
This 420-nucleotide ribosomal RNA is filed under the name Triticum aestivum (bread wheat). RNAcentral's name for it is "partial small subunit ribosomal RNA". The record is from RNAcentral. Lineage: Eukaryota; Viridiplantae; Streptophyta; Magnoliopsida; Poales; Poaceae.